RNAcentral lists this unclassified non-coding RNA (212 nucleotides) under plant metagenome. Its description in RNAcentral is "partial contains small subunit ribosomal RNA, internal transcribed spacer 1, and 5.8S ribosomal RNA". The record is from RNAcentral.
UUUCCGUAGGUGAACCUGCGGAAGGAUCAUUCAUAAUAAAGUGUUUUAUGGCACUUUUUAAAAAUCCAUAUCCACCUUGUGUGCAAUGUUAGAUCUCGUCAAUCUUGGCGAGAUUUUUAUACAUCAACUCAUUUUUUAACUAAUUUGUCUGAAAAAUAUUAUGAAUACUUAAUUCAAAAAUACAACUUUCAACAACGGAUCUCUUGGCUCUC